Molecule: transfer RNA, 95 nt
Filed under: Pseudomonadota bacterium
Lineage: Bacteria; Pseudomonadati; Pseudomonadota
Description: tRNA-Ser
Source: RNAcentral
GCGGGUUUCCGGAUAGACGCGGAUAACGCCGGAUUGAAGUCUGAAGAACCUUGCCAAGGUUGGGGUCGAGAGUUCGAAUCUCUUCGCCCGCUCCA